This 510-nucleotide ribosomal RNA is filed under the name Triticum aestivum (bread wheat). RNAcentral describes it as "partial small subunit ribosomal RNA". The record is from RNAcentral. Lineage: Eukaryota; Viridiplantae; Streptophyta; Magnoliopsida; Poales; Poaceae.
AUGGUAGACGACCUCAGGCGCCCUUGGAAGCCAGUGUCGAAGGCUUCACAUCAACCUACAAAGUCUACUUUUGAGGUCGAUGGGACACUAGGCCGCGUACUCGCCCAGGUGGGAGAGAUAAAAGCAAUAGUGUGUCAGCAAUAUUCGGAGAUUUACGCAAAACUGGACGGAGUAGAAAGGCGCCAGAAGCAAAACAACAUGCGCUUGGAGGACUUCAUUUGUGCAUUCAAUGAUCAUCGAUUUGGAGUAGGACAGAAGGACUUUAAUGAGGGUCAGAGAGUUGAUAAUAAUAUCAAGAAAACCUCAAAGAAUGUUGCUGCUAGUACAAAUGAAGUGCCAAAGUGUGUCUACAGCAACCCCAGCAAGAACCUUGCUGGGGAAUUUGAGAAGGUAAAAAAACACCUGUGGACCCCCACAAAGGAAAAACAGACAGAGAUGACGCUGUGGACUCAUUUAGUAAGCGUUUUAGGAGUGACAGCAAGAACUUACCCUCCCAAUCUGAGAAGGUGA